UUUUUGGAAUAAUUGGAAAAAUAGACAGUUUUUGAAACAUAAUUGUAGAAAUAGUACAAUUACUAUUUACAAUUAGCAAAAUCCACAUUUUACUAUGCUAUUUUAUUUCUUUGCUUUGUCAAUCCUCACCAAAACAUCUUAUUUACAACAAUGCCAUUAAUAUAUAAUUAUAUUAUAUUUUUCUUUCCUCUCAGAUUUUUAAUUAAUAUAUUUUUUUUUUCUUUUUUAUUACAUUAUCCUUUCAAUCUAAAAACUAAAAUACUAGUCAAUGAAAAUUUUUAUUUUUACAAGUUUCAAAUAUAUAAAAAUCUAUGUUUUGUUUCUCUAUUAUCUGAUAUGCAUUUUGUUUGAAGAUUUUAUUUGAUAAUAACAAAUAAUUUUUAUAAAUUUUAGAUAUGUACAACUUACUAAGUGUACAGAUGUAAUCCGUACAACUUAAAAC
RNAcentral lists this long non-coding RNA (442 nucleotides) under Capsella grandiflora. RNAcentral's name for it is "long non-coding RNA (CGRA_LNC000866)". Lineage: Eukaryota; Viridiplantae; Streptophyta; Magnoliopsida; Brassicales; Brassicaceae. The record is from RNAcentral.